Non-coding RNA from Yokenella regensburgei ATCC 43003, 89 nucleotides. The record is from Rfam. NCBI's taxonomy places the organism in Bacteria, Pseudomonadati, Pseudomonadota, Gammaproteobacteria, Enterobacterales, Enterobacteriaceae.
CUCAAUGGUGGGCCGGGUGAGGGCGUCGUAAGACGCGCCGGUUGCCAACAAGGCCGGUAAGGCUAACCUCGUCCGGUUCCGCCACCCGU